Molecule: long non-coding RNA, 407 nt
Organism: Dromaius novaehollandiae (emu)
Lineage: Eukaryota; Metazoa; Chordata; Aves; Casuariiformes; Dromaiidae
Source: Ensembl
CUUAAUUCCUAGGACUUGGACUCCCGUGGUCUCUGAAACACCCCAUCAAGCAUUUCAUGCAAAAAAGAGAGUAAAAACUUCAGCGCCAGUAUUUUCAGUAUCUGGAGGUCCUUGAAAGAGUAGUCAGGUCAACCCUUUCUCUAAUARGAUUUUUUCCUGGCAGUUCAUUCCUGGGGGACCCUGUUUGCGUUUCUGCAAUAAGAACGACAACAGCCRGGUGAAUCUGCUAGCCCGGACGCCUGGAACCAUGUACCUUGACUAGGGCCUCUCUGGCGCAGCAGAAGUGCUCAGCGCUCUCCCGCUCAAGAUGCUGCCUGCGCCGGACCACUUCCUGCUCUCCCAAGCUAUGUUCGUUCAAGCUACCUAACKACACAGACGAAGCCUUCGUGUUGCCUUUCAAGGAAUAG